Molecule: unclassified non-coding RNA, 200 nt
Filed under: Cadophora sp.
Lineage: Eukaryota; Fungi; Ascomycota; Leotiomycetes; Helotiales; Ploettnerulaceae
Description: partial internal transcribed spacer 2
Source: RNAcentral
UUAAGUUCAGCGGGUCUUCCUACCUGAUCCGAGGUCAACCUUGGGUAAAUAAGGCUUUUAACGGCCGGAACCCGCAGCACGCCCUGAGCGAGAUGUAUUACUACGCGUAGAGCCGACAGGCACCGCCACUGAUUUUAGGGGCCGCGGAACCGCGAGCCCCAAUACCAAGCGAGAGCUUGAGUGGUUAUAAUGACGCUCGA